UACAGAGGGUGCGAGCGUUAAUCGGAAUUACUGGGCGUAAAGGGCGCGUAGGCGGCCUUCUAAGUCGAACGUGAAAUCCCUGGGCUCAACCCAGGAACUGCGUCCGAUACUGGAAGGCUUGAAUCCGGGAGAGGGAUGUGGAAUUCCAGGUGUAGCGGUGAAAUGCGUAGAUAUCUGGAGGAACACCGGUGGCGAAGGCGACAUCCUGGACCGGUAUUGACGCUGAGGCGCGAAAGCCAGGGGAGCAAACGGG
This 253-nucleotide ribosomal RNA is filed under the name uncultured bacterium. RNAcentral describes it as "partial 16S ribosomal RNA". It matches the Rfam family "Bacterial small subunit ribosomal RNA", at positions 524 to 776 of the family's 1533-position model. The record is from RNAcentral.